AAAGGGAGCGUAGGCGGAUAGUUUAGUCAGAGGUGAAAGCCCAGGGCUCAACCUUGGAAUUGCCUUUGAUACUGGCUAUCUUGAGUACGGAAGAGGUAUGUGGAACUCCGAGUGUAGAGGUGAAAUUCGUAGAUAUUCGGAAGAACACCAGUGGCGAAGGCGACAUACUGGUCCGUUACUGACGCUGAGGCUCGAAAGCGUGGGGAGCAAACAGGAUUAGAUACCCUUGU
This 230-nucleotide ribosomal RNA is filed under the name uncultured bacterium. RNAcentral's name for it is "partial 16S ribosomal RNA". It matches the Rfam family "Bacterial small subunit ribosomal RNA", at positions 562 to 791 of the family's 1533-position model. The record is from RNAcentral.